Leopardus geoffroyi (Geoffroy's cat) is the source of this 2618-nucleotide long non-coding RNA. RefSeq lists it as uncharacterized. The transcript is spliced from 3 exons. The record is from RefSeq and is a predicted model, not a curated record. Lineage: Eukaryota; Metazoa; Chordata; Mammalia; Carnivora; Felidae.
UUCCUGGUGUUCAAGGAAAUCUCUGUCAAGACUCCGUGGAGCAUGAGCUAAAGGAACAGAGACAUCAGUGACUUCAUGUGAGUUUAUGUUCAUUUGCUACAGCAGCGGUAGGAAGCUAACGCAGUGCUCAUUGAACGUUAGCUCUGGCCAUUGGGGAAGAACUUCAGCUCCAUGUUACCUGUGGUCAGUGUGUUCAGUAAAUUCUGAUCACAAUAAACAUAAUGGAUACGAGAACUCGCCAGAAGCGAUAUAGCAGGAGGUCUGUUCCUUUUCUGCUUAACGGUUGGUAUCGGAAGCAUCUGAAAGUACUUUGUUCAGUUUUUUAAAAAAAUCUGUAAUUCUGAACCAGUUACUUUAUUCCGCGGUGCAGGCCUGAUUCCACACUUUGGCGAAAGUUAGUAAUUUUUUAACAGGUAGAGGCGGCGGUGAAAUGGAACACACCUCAGGUCGGAAGUCUGAAAGUUGGGCCCUGGUCUCAGCUCCACCUCUAUCUGGCCGUGUGACUUAGGUCAUCUUGCCUCCUCUCUUUGGGUUUUGUUUUCCCCAUUCAGAAAAUGAAGGAAUUAGAUCAAUAAUAACUCCCAUGUGUCAAAUGCCUACAAUGCACAAUUUAUACAUAUGGUCUCAUCUUUGCACUUAAAAACUGUGCAAGGUAUCAUCCCCAUUUUAUAGUUGAGAAAACUGAGAGGCCCAGAGAGGUUAAGUGACUUUCCCAAGGUCACAGAGUAUCAGGCAGAGCUGUGAUUUAAAACCAGGACUGUUUGACUCUUUUUGAUAAGCCCCUCUACCUUUCCACGUUUUGGAGGUCGACACUGUCUUCACAGAACAUGCUUAUGAGGCACCUGCUUUUCUCCGUAUAUCAUAGUGAGGAUGAUGGGUCUCUCUAGCUUCCCACUUGAGGGGUCUGGAACCUGGUCCAUCUCUUGUGUUUCUGAGAACCUCUGAUUCAGCCCCUCAGAGACUUCCCUCACAACCAUGUAUCCCUCCUCUCACCUCUAACAGACACUACGAGGUGCUGAACCAAUGUCUGGCCUCUCCUUUUUACUUAGUAACAGAAUCCUAAUUUUGUUCGAAUAAAAUGUACCCACUUAAAAAUACCUGCCCGCAUUCCCUUGCAGGUGCACCCUUACAGGUGGUCCCCUGACCCAGUUCUGACCAAUGAGAUGUAAGUGGACGUUUGGGUGGGGAUUCUUGGGAAUCUAUCUUCUUCAUACUAAAAGGUGGGAGAAGUCAGCAAGCCUAAGGCACAAAUUGCCUUUGUUUUCAUCCUCGCCUGGAACAUAGGUGAGGUUUCUGGAAGUGGAGCAGCCAUCUUGUGACUAUGAGGGUGAGUGCCACCUGCUAAGGAUAGCAGAGCCGGAAGACCGAAGAAACUUCUUUGUAAUCGGUCCUCUGUACCAGCCUGGAUUGCCUAGACUUCUUGUCACAUGAGAAAAAUAAAGCUUUAUUUGGUCAGAUUUCUGUUCUGUCAACUUCAUACCAUCCUAACUGACAGGUUCUCUGAGAAAAGUCUCUCCUCUGCCCUGUAGGCCUGACAUGUGGCCUUAAUAGGCACCUGUGGUGACUCAAAAAUAGAUCAGGGGGAAGAGAAAUUGGCCAUGGCUGUGAUUCUGAACUUGCUGAGCCAUCACCUGUUCAAUCCAUGCUCUGAAGAAGAGUCUGUUAAUUACACUCUCCUUGGCCAGCCAGAGCACAGGAGGCUGCGUCCGUGUGUUCUCAGGGAAGCUCAAAUAUAGCUCAGGCUCCUUCACUGCUUUUGCUGAGUGUGCAGCUUCUGCGUGUCUGGCAGCCCCAGCGAAGCAUGGAGAAGCUUUUCCCGGGAGGUUAGAGUCUGAAGAAGGUGCUAGAAAACAGGGAUGCUGGCAAGGUCUGGCUCAAGGAAACAAGAUCUUCCCUCCCGCCUUCUGCAAGGAGUUAAAGCAAUAUGGAAAGGUACAAAGAAGGCAGUGAGAAAGUCAAGUGAUCAAGGUCAACAGCACGAAGGGGUUUCAUUGUCAGGGAUGAGCUGAGGCUCAGGAAGCAGCCACGAAAACCUGCCUUGCACCCCCUCUCAUUUCUCCACUGCGCUGGAAUCGGACUCUAAAUGGAAAGAGGGAGUCAAGAGGGCCCCAACCUGGCUCCCUCAUCCGGGCAGAAGCUGUCCCUUUAAAAGAGAGAGGAGGCAGAGUUGGCUUACUGCUGCCAGAAGAGGCUGACUGACAGCCAGUGUGCUCCCGGGAGGCCUGAUGUCAUCGCCAGUGAGCAACAAGGCAUCUGACUGGCAGCAGAAUGAGGAGUCCAGGAGCCUUGGCUGUGACUGCGGGGGAGGGGGGGGGGUGUCUGCACAGCACCCACCGAGCAGGCAUUUAAAGUUGCAGGAAUUGGGUCCAUCCCAGGCUCUUCAGGGCCCCUCUCUCAGCCUUACCUAUCAAGCAGGGCUUCUCUCCAUUCUCUCCAUCCUUGGAACGGGGGCGUCCUGCCUGCAAGACCAGACUCCCGUUCCAGCACUGGAACCACCUCCCGAGUGCCAGGUCCGGACCAUACCUGGCUCUCAAGUGCAUGCUCUCCUUCCCUCCUCCCCUCUGAUGAUGAACUUGACACUAUUUUUUUUUCUAAUUAUAAAGGUAAUACAGGCAUUG